GAAUUCACUAGUGAUUCAGGCCUAACACAUGCAAGUCGAGCGGUAAAGCCUUUCGGGGUACACGAGCGGCGAACGGGUGAGUAACACGUGGGUGAUCUGCCCUGCACUUCGGGAUAAGCCUGGGAAACUGGGUCUAAUACCGGAUAUGACCUCCUAUCGCAUGGUGGGUGGUGGAAAGAUUUAUCGGUGCAGGAUGGGCCCGCGGCCUAUCAGCUUGUUGGUGGGGUAAUGGCCUACCAAGGCGACGACGGGUAGCCGACCUGAGAGGGUGACCGGCCACACUGGGACUGAGACACGGCCCAGACUCCUACGGGAGGCAGCAGUGGGGAAUAUUGCACAAAAGGGGAAAGCCUGAUGCAGCGACGCCGCGUGAGGGAUGAUAAGGUUCGGGUUGUAAACCUCUUUCAGCAGGGACGAAGCGCAAGUGACGGUA
Molecule: ribosomal RNA, 433 nt
Filed under: uncultured bacterium
Lineage: Bacteria
Description: bacterial SSU rRNA
Rfam family: Bacterial small subunit ribosomal RNA
Source: RNAcentral